ACAUGACUUUGAUCUGCGUCCUCAUCUGGACUCUCCUCUGCUGCUGCUUCACAGAGUCCAGAGGACAGGUCACAGUGACUCAGCCUGCAGCAGUGAGCUCUGCUAUUGGAGGAACCGUCUCCAUCGGGUGUAGGACCAGUCAGAAUGUUCAUUAUAGCAGCCCAUACCACUGGUUAGCCUGGUACCAACAGAGAGAUGGAGAAGCUCCUAAACUCCUCAUUUAUCUUGCUAGCACUCGAGCAUCAGGGAUUCCAAGUCGUUUUACAGGCAGUGGAUCAAACUCUGACUUCACUCUGACCAUCAGUGGAGUCCAGGCUGAAGAUGCAGCAGUUUACUACUGUCAGAGUUAUCAUGCCAUCAACAGUAAAGCUGUGUUCACACAGUGAAAAAUGGUCGUACAAAAACCUCCCUCAGUCAGACUGAACAGAAACUGAACUGACUGCUGCAGCUGGAAGCU
Non-coding RNA from Scatophagus argus, 457 nucleotides. The record is from the annotation of a RefSeq genome assembly. Lineage: Eukaryota; Metazoa; Chordata; Actinopteri; Scatophagidae.